This 253-nucleotide ribosomal RNA is filed under the name uncultured bacterium. RNAcentral's name for it is "partial 16S ribosomal RNA". It matches the Rfam family "Bacterial small subunit ribosomal RNA", at positions 524 to 776 of the family's 1533-position model. The record is from RNAcentral.
UACGUAGGGGGCAAGCGUUAUCCGGAUUCACUGGGUGUAAAGGGAGCGUAGACGGCGACGCAAGUCUGGAGUGAAAGCCCGGGGCCCAACCCCGGGACUGCUCUGGAAACUGCGGCGCUGGAGUACGGGAGGGGCAGGCGGAAUUCCUGGUGUAGCGGUGAAAUGCGUAGAUAUCAGGAGGAACACCGGCGGCGAAGGCGGCCUGCUGGACUGUGACUGACGUUGAGGCUCGAGAGCGUGGGGAGCAAACAGG